AGUUUGAUCAUGGCUCAGAUUGAACGCUGGCGGCAUGCCUUACACAUGCAAGUCGAACGGUAACAGGUCUUCGGAUGCUGACGAGUGGCGAACGGGUGAGUAAUACAUCGGAACGUGCCCGAUCGUGGGGGAUAACGAAGCGAAAGCUUUGCUAAUACCACAUACGAUCUACGGAUGAAAGCAGGGGACCGCAAGGCCUUGCGCGAACGGAGCGGCCGAUGGCAGAUUAGGUAGUUGGUGGGAUAAAAGCUUACCAAGCCGACGAUCUGUAGCUGGUCUGAGAGGACGACCAGCCACACUGGGACUGAGACACGGCCCAGACUCCUACGGGAGGCAGCAGUGGGGAAUUUUGGACAAUGGGCGAAAGCCUGAUCCAGCAAUGCCGCGUGUGUGAAGAAGGCCUUCGGGUUGUAAAGCACUUUUAUCAGGAACGAAAAGCGUUGGAUCAAUACUCUGACGUGCUGACGGUACCUGAGGAAUAAGCACCGGCUAACUUCGUG
This 500-nucleotide ribosomal RNA is filed under the name uncultured bacterium. RNAcentral describes it as "bacterial SSU rRNA". It matches the Rfam family "Bacterial small subunit ribosomal RNA", at positions 10 to 507 of the family's 1533-position model. The record is from RNAcentral.